RNAcentral lists this long non-coding RNA (2364 nucleotides) under Homo sapiens (human). RNAcentral's name for it is "non-protein coding lnc-RPP30-6:1". Lineage: Eukaryota; Metazoa; Chordata; Mammalia; Primates; Hominidae. The record is from RNAcentral.
GGACUAAUCCAAUAUGGCUGAGAUCCUUAUCAAAAGGAGAAAUUCAGUCACAGGGACAGACAGGUACAGAGAGAAGAUGAUGUCAAGAGACAACGGGAGAAUGCCACAUGAAGGUGGAGGAUUGGAGUAAUGCAUCUACAAGCCAAGAAAACCUUGUUGGGAGUUUGAUUAGACGGCUGAGAAAGACAGCAAAUCUACAGGGUUUGUCAAAGAUAAGAUCGUUGUCAUGGCAUGAAAAGGAUGACCUUUCCAGUCUGCAAUACCUGCUUGACCACUAAGACCAAACAGCUCAAAUUAAAGGUAACAAAUUCCGCAGAGGCAAUUGUUCAACACAGGAAAAAGAAACCACUUUAAGGAUUUUAAACUGGAAGAGAUUUUACAUAAGCUGUUUUAAACAAAACCAUUGGAUGACCUGGAGUAACAGUGUCGGAAACUCAGCUGAGCUGGAUAGAGAACUGAGCUGCCCGUUGUUGGAGAAGUUGAUUAAAGCAGCAGCCGAAGAUCGAAGUAACAGUCAAGACUGUAAUCACUUACUGCAAUAGUAUAAGCAAGAGGCCAAAACCAAAGAAACUGCCAACUCACCCAGGUCUUCUAAAUUCCCCAGAAAGGUGCACUAGUGGAGGGUCAGUGAAUCAGGACAGACAUGGGGGUCAGCUCACGAUUGAGGAAGCCCCAAACAAAAAUCUCCAGUAGUAUUAUGAACCCUGGAGCAGGAGGUUGGAGUGAGACAAGGAGAGCUAGGAGUAGAAGAGUAUGGAGUCGGAGGAGGGAACGGUUUCUUAAGGUCUCCUCCCACUCUACUCUUAAGAAAGCUUCAGUAGAAGCACCUGAAGAAAACUCCAGCAGGAAGCCCUCAGAUAAAGAAACUUCUGAAUGAAGACACCUAGGCUAGGAAUGCAAAUAUGUUUAAGAGCAUGGGCCAUUAGGGGAAUCUGAGUUCCAGAAUGCAAUUCUCUUUAAAGAUUGCAAUGCACUGGGUAUGCCCCAAGUCUGGGGAGGGCAACUUUCCUCGGAGGGGUUUGCCAGAUAAAGCCUUUGUCAUUGCCUGUGGUUGGGCCUGAAAUAUCAAACAUAGAUUUUUGGCCAGGACUCCUCAGCAGGAUCUAGUCAGGGCCUUCACAAAGUACAUUCAGAAUGACAAUUGACCCACCAGAAAGCCAUCAUGCCACCACUUGAUAUUUUAAAUGAAAAGACCCACCAACAUAUCUGAUAUCCAUAUCUGAUACCCAGUAGAAUUGGAAUGCUGCUAUCACCACUGUCACUAUUGUCACUACCACACCUGCCUCUAGAAACCCAGCAAUCUGGAGGAUGGACCCUGGAUAAUGUUGCAGGCAAACCUCAUUUCUCUACAACUGUGCUUUCCACCAACAGUCGAUUAAAGGAAGACGAAGAUCGAGUGUGUGUGGAUGAUACAGCAAAUAAACCUUCUUCUAGUUCUUAAAGAUUAUGGUUUUCAGUGUUUAGUGAGCAUCCGUGUUCAUCUUUAAAGGAUAGAAAAAUGCAGGAGGCAUCUUGUAUCCAUGAAGAUACUAAAACACGGAUUUCCUCAGGAAAUUGAUCACUCAAGCAUCCAUAAUCUUAGUAGACUGCCCUUAUAGUCGUAUUGCAGAAUGUGUGAUCUGCCAUCUACUGAGGGCUCAUUUUUCCCUCUCCUCUCUCAUCCAAGAUUGGUGAUAGUUUCAAAUUUUUCUCCCACUAUUAUGUAGAAUAAUUUCCAAACUUGACACUCAAUUGAAUCAUGGUGUCCAGGAAAAUAGAUAAAAUAAAUAUGACUUCAUAUACCAGAAGUCAUAUUCCUUUGAAUACAAUCAGGGCCAUAAAUGGCACUUGCUUCUAUAACACAAAGUGCUAUUAUAAUUAUAUACAUGAUUUUUUAAAUAAUUAAGUAACUUGGAACCAGUUUCUAUUGCAAUAAUUAUAAGAAACAAAGACCUCCAACUGAAUGAACCCCUCUGAAAUAUUUUAAUAAACUCUGAGGAGUACUAUUUGUCAAGCAAAGAAAUACUGAAUUAAGGUAAAUGCCAGCUUAGGAUGAAAAGAACAGCAACAGUGCCUACCUUCAUUACCUCAGCCUCUCCCUGGCUAAGAUAAUCACUUAAUCUUUUAUGCCUUUGCUAAAACCUCAUUAGUAAAAAGGAGACCUGCCUACUAAGCAUAAGGUUAAGGCUUUAAUGGACUUUAGAAAUCAUUUACUUUUAUGACUCAAAGCACUGAAGUGCAAAUUCUUUUUAUUUGAAUAUUUGAGGGCAUUAAAUGAGCAUUUUUAAUGGAUUUCAAUUGUCAGGAUAAAAUAAAAUUUCUCAAGGGGAAUCUGAAUUUUAACAAACAUUAAAAUCAAAGAAGUAAAAAGAUGAAUAAAUGGAG